RNAcentral lists this ribosomal RNA (489 nucleotides) under uncultured bacterium. Its description in RNAcentral is "partial 16S ribosomal RNA". It matches the Rfam family "Bacterial small subunit ribosomal RNA", at positions 28 to 507 of the family's 1533-position model. The record is from RNAcentral.
GACGAACGCUGGCGGCGUGCUUAACACAUGCAAGUCGAACGGAAAGGCCCCCACCUUGGUGGGGGUGCUCGAGUGGCGAACGGGUGAGUAACACGUGGGUGAUCUGCCCUGUAUUUCGGGAUAAGCUGGGGAAACUGGGUCUAAUACCGGAUAGGACCAUGGUUCAGUGUCUCAGGGGGGAAAAAUUAUUGUUUUGGUGCAGGAUGAGCUCGGGUCCUAUCAGCUUGUUGGUGGGGUAAUGGCCUACCAUGGCGUCGACGGGUAGCCGGCCUGAGAGGGUGGACGGCCAGAGUGGGACUGAGAUACGGCCCAGACUCCUACGGGAGGCAGCAGUGGGGAAUAGUGAGCAAUGGGCGAAAGCCUGAUGCAGCGGCGCCGCGUGUGGGAUGACGGCCUUCGGGUUGUAAACUCCUUUCGUUAGGAACGAAGCCACACCUUUUUUGGGUGUGGUGACGGUACCUUUGUUAAGAAGCACCGGCUAACUACGUG